AACCAGACUCCUACGGGAGGCAGCAGUGGGGAAUAUUGCACAAUGGGGGGAACCCUGAUGCAGCGACGCCGCGUGGGUGAAGGAGCACCUCGGUGCGUAAAGCCCUCUCGGCAGGGAAGAAACAGACGGUACCUGACUAAGAAGCCCCGGCUAACUACGUGCCAGCAGCCGCGGUAAUACGUAGGGGGCAAGCGUUAUCCGGAUUUACUGGGUGUAAAGGGGGCGCAGACGGCAAUGCAAGCCAGGAGUGAAAGCCCGGGGCCCAACCCCGGGACUGCUCUUGGAACUGCAUGGCUGGAGUACAGGAGGGGCAGGCGGAAUUCCUAGUGUAGCGGUGAAAUGCGUAGAUAUUAGGAGGAACACCGGUGGCGAAGGCGGCCUGCUGGACUGUGACUGACGUUGAGGCCCGAAGGCGUGGGGAGCAAACAGGAUUAGAUACCCUAGUA
RNAcentral lists this ribosomal RNA (446 nucleotides) under uncultured bacterium. RNAcentral's name for it is "partial 16S ribosomal RNA". It matches the Rfam family "Bacterial small subunit ribosomal RNA", at positions 329 to 792 of the family's 1533-position model. The record is from RNAcentral.